GAGAAAAGAUACAACAACUGUUAGCAGAAAAUGACUGCCAAAUAAAUGCUCAGUGUGUGGUAAAUUUGGCCACAACAAAUCCUCAUGCUCAACUGCACCAAGACAACUUGAACAAUCCCAAAUACAACCAACCAAACCUGAACAAUCCCAAACAUAACAAACCCAAUCAACACAAGUCUAAACACAACCAAAUCAAUAAACACAAUCCCAAACAUAACCAACUCCAAGAGUUCAAACUAAACUAUCACCAAGAAUAAC
Molecule: long non-coding RNA, 258 nt
Filed under: Lathyrus oleraceus (garden pea)
Lineage: Eukaryota; Viridiplantae; Streptophyta; Magnoliopsida; Fabales; Fabaceae
Description: Pisum sativum (pea) long non-coding RNA (PSAT_LNC022273)
Source: RNAcentral